Long non-coding RNA from Chiroxiphia lanceolata (lance-tailed manakin), 1475 nucleotides. RefSeq lists it as uncharacterized. The transcript is spliced from 2 exons. Lineage: Eukaryota; Metazoa; Chordata; Aves; Passeriformes; Pipridae. The record is from RefSeq and is a predicted model, not a curated record.
AUGACAGAGCAGACCCAGUAUUCAUAUUGGUUUUACAUCCUUUGUUUUAAGAGUCACAUCAUCUCGAAUGUAUUAACUCACAGCAAUUUCUGUAAAACAGAGGAGUGCUCGUCUCCAUUUUAAAGAUGGCAAAAGGAUCAAAGCUGAGAUCCACAAAUGAAGAAUUGAGUGUUCGCAUUGCCCGGGCUCAAAGCCAGCACGAUAUUUCAGUUGCAAUCUGUAAAGCAUGCAGUCACUCAUCUACAUUGUUUCUGGAUUGGAGCUGGCACUUGACGGCUGGUGGGAAGAACUCCCAGUUGUCUUCACCUAUCCACCUACCUGUAGGACUGACUAGAGAGUGCAGGCAGCCUGAUCUCAAUUUCUAGUUUCAGGAGGAAAAAAGCUCUUAUUGAAGUCUGCACCAGAUGGAAAUGCAGAACCCAGCCCAUUGCAAAUGAGAUGAAUUGUUUUACAUUUGAAUUUGAUAUAAUUUAUAUUGUAAAAACUUUGUGACCUACAUCCAGCAGCAAGAUAGUCAACACUGCUUUGUUCUCACCCUUGCUUUUAUUCAUAUUUGAGUAAGCAUGCUGGAUCUGGUAGCAAAACUUUCAUUACCUGAUAUAGCAGUUUACAUUUUUCUUGUUAUUGUCAGAUCUUAGGAAAACAUUCAUCCUAAUUCUAGUCAUGAGAGCAGGGAUGUAUGCAUUUUCACAAUGGACGUUUUUUUGUUUGUUUGAGUUUUUUGACACUGCAAUUAAACCAACAAUAAUUUUAGAAUAAUUUAAUAUUGAAACUUGGAGUCCAGCAUAACAUAUAUUCUCUCAGCGAAUACCAAGAAAAAUAUCUUAAACUGCUGGGCAUCUUAAACUUCAUCCAUUGUGAUGGUUUUGCUUGGUGUAGAGUUGAUUUUGCUUUCCUAAUAUGUGUGGCUUUUGCUUUACCUAUUGAUCUGUGUUUGUCUCAACUCACAAGUUGUUUUCUCACUUUUACCCUUCAGAUUCUCUCCCACAUCCAAGUGGUGAGGAGUGAGUGAGCAGCUGUGUGGGGCUGAGUUGCUGGCUGGGGUUAAAUCACAGCAGCCAUUUCAGGAGAAAGCAUAAUGGAGAGUUUAGUCAAUUAUCUCUGGUCUUGGUACAUCUACACAAGAACACUGUAGCACUUUGUGGAGAUGUUAGUUUGGUUCUGGAAGGCUCUAUGUCCAUUCUAGUGUAGUUAUUAUGCUUCUGAGUUUCAAAGGAAAAUUAAGUUAUUUGUUCAAGGAUCACUGUGUUGUAUUUCACAGUGUGAUGCAGAAGUGCUCAUUGUAAAUCUCAUAUUGAUGUUAUGACACUAUUCACAGAAAACUAUAAAUGCCAGUAAUCUUGCUGGAGAAAACUCUCAAUUAUAAAUGUUAAACCGUGGUAUGUUCUGAACUUGUAAAGAAAUAUAACUUCUAAGAUCAGUCUUAUACAAAUAACAUAUGUUAAGGUUGUAAUAAAGUGACAUAAUAUUUUUGU